Halichondria panicea is the source of this 1073-nucleotide long non-coding RNA. RefSeq lists it as uncharacterized. NCBI's taxonomy places the organism in Eukaryota, Metazoa, Porifera, Demospongiae, Suberitida, Halichondriidae. The record is from RefSeq and is a predicted model, not a curated record. The transcript is spliced from 6 exons.
CUAAUAAAACACAAGACACAGCUUAGUGUACAUCGAUUGACUGUACUCCCGAAUAUACGCCAUGACGUCACGUUGCGGGAACACCCCCGCAGCCAUAUUGAUUUUUAAAAAAUGCACAAAUUAGUCAGUUAGAUAGAUAGAUAGAUAGAUAGAUAGAUAAAUUUUCAUUUGGAUAGGAAUGCUGCAUCCACCAUAAUGGUAGGUUUUCAUGCAGGUCCUAUAUAAAAGAAAAGAAAAAAUAUAAAACGUACAUAUAGAUAAUUAAUUCAUAUAUGACAGGUGUUCUCCUAGAUUGUAAUGUGUAGGGUUUUCAGGGAGGUUUUGAACAACUUUAAUUAGGUGGGACAUGAUUUUGAGGAUAGCGGGAGACGGUUGUAGUGCAGAGCACCUGAGUAUUCAAAGCUCCUUCAGAGUUUGGCUGGCCUAGGUGGAUAUUACCUGAUCCACUGGUCCCAAUGUUCUUAGAAAACUGUUCGUAACUUGAAAGCGCUUCGACUUUUGAUUGUGCAAGUUAGACUAGGAAGAAAGACCAGUCAAAGAUCUACAAGAUGAUGCCCGAAUCGCUUACUAUCUCGAAGGUUUGGCUGUGAUCUGCUUCUGUCAAGCGCUACACAAGGUACUGGGUGUGGCUUAUAACCAGAGGCAGCUAUGUGUAAAGAGAAACAGUGGCAGUGGUAAAAAGGUGUGGUUGGAUCCAAUAAUCCGGAGGUGGGGCCGCGUAUGUACAGUGAACAGUGGCAGUAGCAGCGAGAUAUAAAAAGUGUCUGAUGUUGUGGCUACUGCUGUAUAUGUCCAUGAAUACUUUGCUAUCAAUUGAUCACUGCCACUGGGUCCCUUUUGGAGUACCUUGGAGUCGCCUCUGUCAAGAGUAGAAUACAUGACAAUGCCAUGUACAGGAAGGUUGACGUUGGUGGUAGGACUUUCACAACAGUGCUCCUCUCCAAACUGUUCUCAACCAGAAAACUCAUCAUCACUGCCCUCCAUGACUGGCACAUCUUUGUUACCUUGCUGUACUCUGGCUACUGGGUCUUCUAUGUCAAUCUGUGCAGGUCCCAGAGCUAGUGGGUAGCCUA